UGUCUAUGGAUAGUGGAAUCUUCGUUUCCUUUUCCGCAGAUAUGGAUAAUUUGUACGUCCUUCAGCAAGUCGUCUAAGUUUUCACGGAUGGCAUCAUUGAUCCGCUUCGAUCCCAUACUGCCUCCCAUGACCAUAACGACCGGCUUCUGUUUAUGGAAUCCACACAUCGAUAACC
RNAcentral lists this non-coding RNA (175 nucleotides) under Halobacillus sp. BAB-2008. RNAcentral's name for it is "Staphylococcus sRNA 414". It matches the Rfam family "Staphylococcus sRNA 414". From Rfam's summary of the family: Antisense of an annotated CDS (SAOUHSC_1422) but was considered an trans-encoded sRNA rather than a typical antisense RNA. The record is from Rfam by way of RNAcentral. Lineage: Bacteria; Bacillati; Bacillota; Bacilli; Caryophanales; Bacillaceae.